This 508-nucleotide long non-coding RNA is filed under the name Panax ginseng (ginseng). Its description in RNAcentral is "long non-coding RNA (PGIN_LNC007156)". The record is from RNAcentral. Lineage: Eukaryota; Viridiplantae; Streptophyta; Magnoliopsida; Apiales; Araliaceae.
GCUGAGCCGGAAUGUCCUGAACAAGGAACUCUACCAAUCAUCUCAACAAUUCAGAAGUUUAACCGACCAGUUUUUAUACUCUAGAAGUGAGUACCACGCAAUACCAUUCUAUUGGAGCACCACUUCCCAUACCCAAGAUCUCUGCCAAGGUUAUGUCGGCCACUCAAGAAAUGAUGUCAUUGGGUUAUUAACCUAGACAAGGGCUUGGUAAAGAUAAGCAGGGUAUUAAGCACCCUAUCCAAGUGUCCAGCCAAAUUGGAACAGCCGAACUAUGCUAUAUUCUGCCAGUUCCAGUCACAGGAAUCCUCAUAAGCACAAGCAGGUUCUUCAAGCUUCCACCGCACGACAAUUUUCUAUACCUUUACCUCAUGAGUUAAUACAGUCUCCAGUAAAGGUGCCAGCCCAUGUUAUGGCCAUGCUGUUUCCUAAACCAGUACCAAUCAAAGCAAAAGAGGUGCUGAUUCCUGAUCCCGAAGUGGAAGAAAAGGAACGAAAGCGUAAACAUGAC